Molecule: ribosomal RNA, 253 nt
Filed under: uncultured bacterium
Lineage: Bacteria
Description: partial 16S ribosomal RNA
Rfam family: Bacterial small subunit ribosomal RNA
Source: RNAcentral
UACAGAGGGUGCGAGCGUUAAUCGGAAUUACUGGGCGUAAAGCGUGCGUAGACGGUAGCGUAAGUCAGAUGUGAAAGCCCCGGGCUCAACCUGGGAAUUGCAUUUGAGACUGCUCUGCUCGGGUGCGGAAGAGGGAAGCGGAAUUUCCGGUGUAGCGGUGAAAUGCGUAGAUAUCGGAAGGAACAUCAGUGGCGAAAGCGGCUUCCUGGUCCGACACCGACGUUCAGGCACGAAAGCGUGGGGAGCAAACAGG